Molecule: long non-coding RNA, 900 nt
Organism: Photinus pyralis (common eastern firefly)
Lineage: Eukaryota; Metazoa; Arthropoda; Insecta; Coleoptera; Lampyridae
Exons: 2
Source: RefSeq, a predicted model, not a curated record
GCUGCAUUAUACUAGCAGGAUAGCAGAAGGUGUUUUUGGUAUCAGACAGGCGCAGUGUAAAACUUUGAGUAGGUGCAUUUUCAAAAAUGCAUAAAAUCCAAGACGCUCCAAAGAAGCGCGUGGUAAAUAAUCGUGGUGGUGUUAAUUAGCGCACUUUUUGUGCACGAAGUUUAAGGGUAGCACGUAUCAGUGGCGUAUUUUAAUUUUUUAUCACAAUCUUAAACAUUGAGCGCCAUUUUGUUUUCUGGAAUGAUAAAAUUGCAAGUCAAUGAGGUGGAAUAAAAAUCUCAUGCGCUCGUGGUGUCGCUUGAUUUAAAGAAAGAAGUGGAAUUAGUGCGAUAAAGGGGAUUAAAUGGACGCCAGGAUCAAUGUGAGAUUGCCAACAGCAUCUAAAUCAAAAUGCCAAAGAAGAGAUUUCUCAAAGGGGGCGCUUCUAUCAAGGCGACUCGAGGAUAAGUUAACCAUUACUUUGAUAUUAAUUAAUUACUUCUCCAUCUGUUUCAGGUUGACGAAUUUUCAGAGUAACUGAUUCAGGAAGUUUAUACCCAACCACUAGAAAAUCGUCAAAAUAGAAUUACAAGUUCAAUGUUCGAGUGGGGCGCGUAUUUUGGAGGGUCAUUCUCUUCAGAUGGAAACGAGUACAAAGAAAUUACAACCGUUCUAUUUUAAUAGUUCGAUUAGUCAUGGCUUUGGUUACCCUUUAGACACGAGCCUAAAUGGCACUUUGGCAACGCUACGACUGCAAUAAAUUUACCUCUACGUGGAUCCUUUUGUGACACAGUUAAUUAAGCGCACCCAUGUUUUGUGCCAAUCUUUUGUCCACAAAAUCAAAGUUUUCCUAACUGGAAACCAUUUUAUAUAUAAAUAAUUAAUUUAAGUAAGAAUAUACAUUAACGAAAG